GCCAGGCACGAUGGCACUUGCCUGUAAUCCCAGUGACUCAGGAGGCUGAUACAGGGGGAAUCACAAGUUUGAGGCCAACCUCAGCAACUUGGUGAGGUCCUAAGCAAUGUAGCGAGAUCCUGUCUCAU
This 128-nucleotide small RNA is filed under the name Marmota monax (woodchuck). The record is from RNAcentral. Lineage: Eukaryota; Metazoa; Chordata; Mammalia; Rodentia; Sciuridae.